UUUGUUUCUCUUUUGUUUUUUUACCGUGGUCCUUGAAUAAGGUUUUCCUUUGAAUAAGGUAUUUUGUUUACCUAUUAAAUUAGAAAAAACAUAUUGUAAAUGAAUCUUUUUAUACCCCAUUACAUUUUUAAAUUAAUCCUAUAUAUUAUUGACAUUCUUUCUAAUCUUUAUGAAUUUUAAGAAAUUGUGGUGAUUGAAAAUUUCCCUUUGUGGCGAUGGAUCUUUCCCUUGUAUAUAUAUUUGGUUUUUGUUUUUGUUUUGAUGGUUGGAUCAAGAAGAAGGUUUAUUUUGAAGGGGAGACUAUUAUCUUCAAAAUGUUAUGAUUUAAACUUCAUGUAAUGCUAGUGUUAUUUAUCUUAUUGUAAAACAUUAUUAACAUGGUGUGGUUUUCUUAUGGUCAAUAAUUUCUGUUUUGAUGGUUGGGAUCAAGAAGAGAGUUUGUUUGAAGAUGAUAUUUUAUCCUUUAAAAUGAACCCUCUUAUGGAUCCCAACCAUCAAAACAGAAAAAAGAGGGAAGACAAAAAGACUAAAAAUACGGUUGAAUUUUGUCUUUUCCCUUUUUCUUUUGUGUUUAUGAUUCUAAGGAGCAAAACUGCUUAUGCAUUUCUAGCACUUGAAUCAUUGAUUCAGGUGCAUCGGAACAUAUAGUUUUUCAAAGUUAUUUUCCAUUUACCCCACACGUUCUCAAAAACAAAAAAAGAAGAUUGUUGACGGAUCUUUUUCCUCUAUAGUUGAUCAACACACAAUCAAAAUCAACCCUACUUUGUCUCUAAAAUCCAUGUUGGAUGUUCUUAAUAGCCUUUUGUCUAUAGGAAAAAUCACUAAAGAUUUGAGUUGUUCAGUUAUAUUCAUUUCUUUUGAUUGCAUUUUUCGCAACUUUGUAAUGGGGAGUAUGAUUGGACAUACGAAGGAAAAAAAUGGAUUGUAGGAGCAAGAUGCUAAUUGUAAGACUGGUGUUUUAUGGUCUUCAGGCUUGGUCCCUACCUCUUCUCCAAAAGUUAUUUGAUUUGGCUUUGGCAUAGUCUUCUAGGACAUCUUUCGUUCUGAUUAUUGAAAAAUGUGUUCCCAUCUUUGUUUGAAAACAUUAAUUGCCUUGAUUUUCAUUGGGAAGUGUGUGUUCUUGCUAAGCACCACCUUUACUCAUUUCCAGUAAAAAAUCCGAAACGUCUCUCUCCAUUUUGUUUGAUGCAUUCAGAUGUUUGAGGUUCUUCUCAUGUUACAAAUAAUUUAGAUUUUUGAUGAUUUGUUACAUUUAUUGAUGAUUGCACUUGUUCCACUUGGGUUUAUCUCUUGAAAUCAAAAUCUGAAGUCUCCACUAUCUUUCCUAUUUUUCAUAAAUUUAUGAGUACACAAUUGGGAGUCAAAAUAUAUAUACUCAAAUCUGACAACAGGGAAAAAUACUUUAACAAUGACUUAAUCGCAUUGCUACACUGUUUAUGUGAGCAACCCCUCACAUUUCUCUCUUUUGUACUUGGUUGACUCUCUGCAGCUGAAGAACAUAACGUCAAUGGCUUCACCAAAUGUUGGACAAGAUGUCACUCUACACGAGGUAGCAAUUCUUUUUCCAUGAUUUCAAAUUUUUAUGCACAAUCAGUCUCUAUUUCUUUUAUUUCUUCGAGUUUGCUGGAUUUUCGUUUAGAUAUAUUGGUAAAUUGGGUGUAUUCCGUGAAAUUUGUGUUGACACGAGUUUUGGAUCUCUUGUGUUCUCUUCCUCAUCUUUGAUUUGAGUGGAUCUGCUGUUGUAGAGGGGAAAUCAUUGGGAAAAUGAGAUAUCAGUGAGUGAUUUGUUCUAAUGUUGAUGAUGUGGGUUGGGCGGAUUUUUAUUUGUUGUUUUUGGAACAAUAAUGAAUGAUCCGAAUUUACAAGUUUUGAAAUCGUUUCUUUAGAUCCUUAAUGAAUACUUAUUUUUUGUUAUGAAAUAUUGUAACAGUUGGACAUGGAAUAGACAUAGUUCUUGUGCUGUGAAAAAGUGAACUUUUUUUAAUGCUUUUUCUUGGAUUAGUAUGGCAUUCAACCACCAUCAUUUGGGUGACCCAUCCCGGGCUUACCCAAAGAUUUUAUUUAUCCAAAAUGACCUGAUUCUGAUACCUAUAAAACAAUGAUGAAUUUUUGUUUUCACCACCCUCGUCUAUGCAAGGUAGUUGUCUGCUAUUGUCAGUUAAUUUAAUCCAUUGAAACUGUUCUUUUCUCAUUGGAUGUGUUUUCUGUUCUCUAAGCAAACUAUGAUCAAGGGACUUCUCCCUGGACUUGGACAAUGUGCGUGAAUAGUUAGAUACCGUAUUGCAUCUGAAAACAGUUCUUCCAGACAACUAGAUGGGUGAAAUAAAAAAUUGAGGGAUUGUGUCCCAUAGUGGGCUUGGUUUCUUUUUUCAAAUUUUCUGAAAUAGGACCCCCAACAAACUGUAAAUGAUGAAUUGUAUUUAAAUAACUUGCAAGAGAAUGGAAAGGAAGUGUUUGUGUGACAAGGAAGCCAAGGGAGGGGGGUUGUCAAACCAUCAAAAGUAAGAGUUAGGCUUUGAAUUGUUUAUUUAGGCCAGUGUAUUACAUAACUUCACAGUCUGUACUAAAUCAGCUUCAAAGGCCAAGCCAUGUUCAUGGUUGUGUAAUAUCAUUAGGGCCCAUAAUGGAUGCAGAGUGGGUGAUCAAUGGAGUGUAAACAUGAGUAAAGCUUUUGUCCUUUACAAGGUUGAAACCUUAAUCCAUGUUUUGAAAUGUUGUUGGUGAUAUCUUUUAGUAUAGAGUUUGUUAUUGCAAGGACAUAUCCUGAAUGGAUAUUUAUUUACUAACAUGGCUAUGGUUACAUUGCAGUUUUUUGGAGGGUGAGAACAUAUAGUGGCCCUCUGCAUUUUAGCAUUUCCAAUAAUUAUCUCCUUUUCUGUUUGAUCAUAUUAUGAAUUGGUUUUGGCUGGAAACUUUUUCACUUCAUACUUUGACAUGCAGCACUAUAUGUUGGGUGAUGGGAAGGGAAUUGAGAGUGUGGAAAAAAUUGAAGUUAAGAUCCCAGUAGAUUCGGCUUCUGAGAAUGUUGUAACUGAGAAGAUCGAGGAAACACCUGCUGUUACAAAAGAAGCCACAGAAGCUGCUCCGACUGCAGCUGAAGAAAUUAUUGAGGUCACCUCUGCUGCAAGUCAGGAAGCUACUCCUGCUGCCAAAGACAUCAGUGAAGCUACCCCAGAUGCUGCUGAAGAAAGCAGCAACAAUGUUGAAGAGGAAAACUCGGGUGAUCAAGAAGUUGAACACACAUCGGAAAUAAAAGUCAGUAUGAAUAAAUAAUUUAUCCUUCAAACUUCUUGACUGCAUGUGCCAGCUCCUUCGCCUAAUGUUCCUGCUGUUCUUGCUUCAUCUUUUGAUUUCCUGUUUGUUCUAUUGUGUACUGUUACUGGAUUUCAGCUUGAGACAGCACCAGCAGAUUUCCGUUUCCCGAGUACCAACCAAACAAGGCAUUGCUUUACCCGUUACAUUGAAUAUCAUCGGUAAGUCAAAGUGUUUUUGUGAUUUCCUUUCUCUUAAACUUCACUCCCCGCAUUUAUUAAUUAGACAAAUUUUCUUUGUACUUAUCUGUUCAGGUGCACUGCAGUAAAGGGGGAAGGGGCUUCUGAGUGUGAUAAGUUUGCAAAAUUUUAUCGUUCUCUUUGUCCUGCUGAAUGGGUACGUAUAUUCAUGCUUUUGCAUGUUAAUAGAACCAUACAUGCUUUCUUCUUAGCCUCUUAGGAAAUUUUAUAAUUGUAUCCAUGGCAUUAGCUAUAUUUCUUGUUCAUUUUUCUGCCCAAAGGGAAGGUAUAUUAAAUUACUAAAUGCUUGUUUGGAUACACUUCAUAUGUUUUUUAAAUAGUAAAUAGUAAUUACUACUAUAUAAAAUAUAAUAACUCUUAUAUAAAAAGUAUGAACUUAUGUCCUAUCUUUUAAAAUUCGAGGUAGUAAAAUUUUUUUAAUACUUUAAUUUUUAAACAAUUUUUAAAAGUCAUUGUCUUUUUAAGGUAUUUCUUAAAGGUUGUGAUAUUCCACAUCGGAUUGGGAAAAUUGUUUUUGUUGCUAUAUAUGUAUGAGCUCCUCUUAACUAUGUGGACACGUUUUAAAUUCAUGAGGAUCCUUUGAGCCUAAAGUGGAUGAUAUCUACAUGGUUGGGAGCGAAUUGUUACAAAUGGUUACAAAGUUGAUUCCCGACCUCGGUGUGGGAGUUUGUUUGACCCCAUAAGGGAUGCGUGUUUGUUUUGCCUUGAAAUCCUAUGGGAUACAACGUGGACUUUAUGUCUGCAUAGAAGGGUGAUUGUGAUAUUCCACAUCCGAUGAGGUAAAAAGUUCAUGACUCUACAUAUGUAAAAACUCCUUUUGACUAUGUUGACACAUUUUAAAUUGUGAGGGUCCUUUGCGCUUAAAGCAAAUAAUAUCUACACAGUUGGACAUGAAUCGUUACAAAGAGUUCUUACAUUUUAUAUAGGAGUUAAUGUCAUUUUCUGUUUUCAAAAAUGGAAAACAAGAAGCGUAUCCAAACAACAACUAAAUUACUAAAAUUUUAUAGAGUUUAGAAGGGAAUUGUUUAUUGAAUGCUCAAAAUUAACACUUGAAGGAAAUGAUAAUGUGAUUCUUCUUGCAUCCCACUAUAUUAGCUUUUUAUCAGAUACAUUGCUGAUCGAUUUAAACUGCACACUGUUGCUAAAUGCACUUUCUAAACAACCCAUUAUGGACAAGGAUGAGGGAUGGUCGAACUCUAGUUGUAGUUAUGAAAACAUCUAACUGUAACCAUAUGUUAACAUGAUCAUUGGUUCAAUUGUAUAUGCAUAUGUGAACUGAAUUUUUGAUGGAAAAUCAUGUGCCUAAUUGAUGUAUAAUUCUCAAAAUUAAGUCAUCUUUUAGGUGAUUUGCUUUCAUAACUAUUGUAGUUUGAAAUGCAUGAAGUUUUCUAAUUGCAUUUCAGUUUUAAAAAAGUAAUUCUCAAGUCACUCAUGUUUUAGUUUACAAAAUCUCAGGUGUGGAGAUUUUCUACUUCUUACCUUGGUUUGCCUCUUAGGGCACUUCAUAACUCCUCUGUUGUGUGGGAUGCACUAGAGGAGAGAGAUAAAAGGAGAUUGAUUUCUUGGAAAAAAUAGUACUUAUUCGAAGGAGGAAGAUUAGUCCUUCUGUAGAGUACUCUUGAGUCUCCCAAUCUAUUUUAUGUCUUUCUUUGCAAUCCCUGGAAAAGUGAGGAUUUGAUUAGAGAAAAUUUAAAUAGACUUUUUUAUAGGGUGAUCUUGGGAAUAAGCAUGUAAAAAACUGUUCAAGUGUGCAAUCCUAUUUUGUAGUCUUAAUCUUAACAUAAAAAAGGCUUCUCAUCAUUGCUUUGACCACUCAUUCCUUGCCAACUACCUCCAGGAAAAGACUUGCAUCAUGCCUUUUGACUCACAUAAAUCCAUGAUUUGUAGUAGCUCCAAAUUUUGAACACUAUGUGCAGUGGAGCAUUGUGGAUGUUCUAGUGGGUACCUUGGAGGUGGAGCACAUCUAAUAGCUUGUUUGGGAUAGCUUCCUAUUUUUUAUUUUAGUUGGGAGUUGAGGCUAAGGUCACAAUUUUUAAAAGGGCAAUAUUGGUAUUGUAAAAUUUUAUUAUUAAAAUAAAGCUUCUAUAAGAAGCAACAUUUUUUUGACUUUUAUAUUAAAUUGUUUUUUAAGCCAUAAGCUCUUUGAACAAAAUUAGCCAAACAAGCAUAGAAGCUUUUAUUGCACUUAAAAAAGAGCUUUUAAUUUCUCAAAAGUUAUCCUAAACAAGACCUAAUAUUCUUUACAUUAGGUAAGUUAACUAUUUUUAAAUAAAACUUUAGUAAGGACAAGCAAAUAGCUGCACUAAAGAGAGGAGGCAAUUCGCUUGUCAAAAAACAUAGAUAAACUAGAAUAUCCAAGGAAGAGAAAACAAAAUUCAAAGAGGAGAUGCUUCCAACAAAAACUAAAUUGGAGGCCACACCCUACCUAGGAAUCUUCAUGAGUUGGCUGUUUUUGGGAAGAGAUGUUGCAUAUAAGGAGGUUUACAAGUGAAACAUUUUAUUUCAAUUGAAGAGAGGUUUCAUAAAAGGCUAUCGGUGUGGAAAAGAUAAUAUAUUUUUAUGGAGGGGACACUUGCAUUGAUUAGAAGUAUCUUGUCCAAUCUACCAAUCUAUUAGAUGUCCUUGCUUGUAAUCCCUAGAAAGGCCAAGUUGAUGUUAGAGAAGAUUUAAAAGGAUUUUCUCUGUGGACAUGAGACUCUGGAGAAAAAGCCUCAUUUAGUAAGAUGGUUUGUUGUUUGCAUGGAUAUGAAGAAUGGGAGAUUGGGUUGUACAAGUCUCUUUCUUCUAAAUCGAACUCUCCUUGGUAAGUGGAGUCGGGGAUAUGUUUCUAAAGGGGAUGGUUUUUGGAAGCAAAUUAUAAAGGGAAAGUAUGGGAAGGAGGAAGUGUGUUUGAUACUCUUGCAUGGUGAGAGAUGGUUACGGUGUUGGAGUAUGAAAAGCUAUAAGGAAGGAGUCUGAUAUUUUCGUUACUAGAACCAACCUCCUUUGAAGUAUAUAAUGGUAGGAGGGUUGAGUUUUGGAAGGACAAAUGGUGUGGAAAAAAGCCCUUGUGUAUUUCCUUCCUCUCCUUGUAUGCGAUGAUUGUCUCAGGAGGUUUGGGUGGCUGAUUUAUGGGAAGAUUCAGAAAUGCGGGAUCAUUAGAAUUUGUGCUUUUGUAGGCACUACAAUGAUUGGGAGCUGGACAUUGUUGAGACUUUCUUCUCUAGAUUGCUAGUGAAGUUAGUUAGGAGGAAAGAGAAUGAUAGGAUGAUCCGAAAGGAUUCUUAAAAGGGUGUGCUUUUGGUAAAGUCUUUCUAUUUGGUCUUGGAACUCGAGAGGUCAAUCCCCUUUCAAACAGAUGUCAUUUGUAAUCUGUGAGUCCCAUCCAAAGCGAGUUUUUUUGCUUGGGAAACUAGUUUUUGUGAAAGGGGGGGGGGGGGGGGGGGGGUUGUUUGACAUCAAAUCAGCUUUAGAAAAGAUGGUGGCCGCUAGUGAAUAGAUGUUUUCUUUGUAAAUUUGAGGGGGGACCUAUUGAUCAUAUUCUACUUCACUGUAUCAAGGCAAAGAUUCCAUAACAUUUUUUGUUCUCCUUAAUCGAUGUAGUUUAGGUGAUCCCUUCUUUGUUGAAAGAAACUCUGUUAAGUUGGUAUGAUUCCUUUGUAGGGAGGAAAAGAAAGAAGGCAUGGAGAGCACUCCUCUCUGCAUUUUUUGAACAAUUUUUUUGGGUACGAAAUUGAAGAGAAUUUGAAAAUGAGGAAAAGACUACUCAAAAGUUAAAACUUUCAUUCCGUUGCAAUCCCUCAGCUUGGGUUAGCAUGUCCUUAAGAAAAGACUCGAUGCCUUUGAUUGAUUUUGUACAUUGGGUGAGGUUUUUUGGUGGCUUCUUUUUUGAGGCCAUUCUUUUAGGUGCCUCUUGUACAAGUCCUAUGUACUUUGGGCUACUUUUUUGUUAUUAUAUGUUUUUUCAGUUAGGUCAUUGAUUAUUCCAGAAAGAACUGCUGGAAGCAUUAUUCCCUCAGCUUAUUAGAUUCACCUUGUGACCUGCCAAUGAUCCUCGAUUAGGUUCUUAUAUCCCAAAUAACUGACAGAAGCAUCGUUCUUUAGCUUGUUAGACUCACCUAGUGACCUGCCAAUGAUCCUAGAGAAGCCAUUCAAGUUUGGCCUCAUCAAAAUCUUAAGAGCACCAGAAACCAUAUGGUCAGGCAGAAGUAAAAUCUUCUGAACCCGAAUGAUCAUGAAGCAAUAGUUGUUUAUCUUGUAUAACAUUGGCUCGAUGAUCUAAUUGCAUGAACAUAUUUAUCCAAAAAAUCUCAGUAUCUCACAGCAGCUGGGUACUGAAGAGAAACCAAAAAUGACACAUUUGAAAAAACUAUUGAAAGCCAAUAUUGCAUACUAUGAAGAAUUACAGUAUUAUUUUAAGCCUAAAUCAUUUGAUACUUCUACUUCUCUAUCUCCUUGUAUCCGGAACUUCAUAAUAGGGAACAGGGGAACUAUUGUCAUGUCCCUAAAAGUGAUGAUUGAUGAAAACAUUUGUGUUCUUUGUAAUAGAGUAUGGCUCGCACAUGUAAGAUAAAGGGUCAAUUCUGAUAUAUGGCCAAUCUCCUGAAAUUUGGAACUGCAUUAAUUCUACUCCAGGUGAAGCAAAAUUUGACACAAUGUUCUUAUGGAGUUCUCACAUGGGAACCCGUGAAUCAUGAUCAUGAACUAUAAAUCUUUCUUCUUUAUGUAGAUUAUAUUUUCAUGUUUGAGAUUGCAGACAAUUUCUAUAUAUUUUUUUCAUUCAACUUAGCUCUUUAAGAGUUGCCAUCUAAGCUGACUUUUUUCAACUGUUUUUUGGUUGCAGGUAGAGAGAUGGAAUGAACAAAGGGAGAAUGGCACCUUUCCAGGUCCUCUGUAGAUGGUGCCCUUUCUAAAAAAAAUCCAAAUCCUGUUUCUUUCUUGCCAUUUUAAUAUUCAAGUUGCUCCUGAUUCCGCCAGAUGAAUUUCCUGGUAUAGAAUGGAACAGGACGAGGGAAACUGCUACCUGAAUGAUUCAAGUUAAUAAAAUUUUUGGCUAGGUCUGUUGGAGCUAUUUGUAAUUUGAUGUCUCUUUCUUCCAAUCUUUGAUGCUUCCAGCUGUUUUGGAACAGCAAGAGGUCCUGAAUGUAACCGAAUAAAACUUGAGCAGUUAAAUAUGCUGAUAUAACUUGCUUUCUUGCAUAAGGCACUUUUAUUGUCUUUCAUCAGAUUGCUUCUUCCUCUUUGACAUGCAACCAAUACAGGAAACAAAGCUUUCUAAGUGUGCUAAGGCUUUAUCUAGAAUCGGCUUUUGCCCUUUAUCCUGCUGCAACUGGUUAGUCUUCUACUAAUAUAAAUAGUAAAAGAAAGGCCUGGUUUGAAAAGAGGUGAAGAAGAGGGAGACCCCAAUCCCCAGCAAGGACAGACAUCCUGUGAGAACACCUAUUACGACUAGACUUAACUUGAAGGGCCUACCUUGAUUAGCCUUCCUGGAGCAAAUCAAACUUAUUUUUUGUACUCUAGCUAUAAGGGACAAGAAAGCUACUCUUUUGAGGGGUACCCCCAAUGGAUCGAAGAUAACGGGCUAAUAACACUCAAAUGCUUGCUCUCAGUACUUAUGAUUUAUAGGUUUUAGAGUGGGCUAUUCCUUAUGUGAAAUUAUAAUAGGUAAUGUCCCUGAUAUAUAUAGGAUUAGUUGUAAUUGAUAAAUUAGGUUUUUUUAUGGGUAAAUUUAUUUAUUUUAAAUUUUUGUGGAAUUUUUAUAGAAUGUUUUAUUAAAAUGAUAAAAUUAUAUCCCUCAAUUCCAUUCACUCUUUUUUUGUACCCUUAAAAAAAUUAUUUUGGACAAAAAUGCCCUCAGGUUAAAUAAUCAAAAUAUGGGAGAAAAUGGCUUACUUUUUAAGUUAAAAAUCGGAAGUGAGAAGGAGAGAGCAGGAGAGGCAGAGCGAGAGAGCGCCCCUCUGGAGUCGACCUUUGGAGUGCGCGACGACGGAGAUUUUGCCCUUUUUACUUCUGGUAAUCUCUCUUUUUUUUUCUCAGGUUCCGAUUUCUGCUCCGUUGAUGGAGUUGUUUUCUUUCUAAAUUGGAUUUUUAUGGGAGGUCCUUUAGGGCUCGGGUUUGAAUUUUUGGCUUCUUUGGAUCUGGGUUGUGUUCUGGUGGUGUAUUUCACGAGGGUGGGGGAUUUGAGGAAGAGUGCGAACAAAAUCUGAAAUCCACCCUGGAUGGAUUGGAUUUUGUGGUUUUGAUUAUUUCUCGUUGAUUUGGUUAGAAAUUUGAAGACACAGGUUGAAUAAAACUUGGGAAUUCGGAUUUUUGGGGCUUUAAUUUCAUCUUUUAUAAUUUUGUUUUUAGGAGUGCAUUUUGAUAUUUUUGGAUCUGGCUUGUGUUUGGUUCAUGAGGUGGGGCAAAGCAGGAAGAAAAGUGAAAUAAAACCAGGGACUUUAGUGAUUUGAUUUCAUCUCCCAUUGAUUUGGUUUAGGGUUGGGGUUUGAUUUAUAAGGUAUUUGAUUUGAUUUGUGGUUAGGAAUGUAUGUUUUGAGGAUGGAUUUCUGAAUAAUGUAAGAAAAUUGAAUUAGAUUUCCUCAUUAGUUUCUGAAAAUUUAAUUUUCUUGAGACUUUUUUCUUUAAUUUGUACAAUUUGUUUAAGAAAAUUUAGUAUUGCCCUUUUCUUUCAAUGACACUUGCAUUUGAGCCAAAAUGGGUGUGAUGCAUCCGAAUCUUGAAUUUGAUUCCCUUGAUAUUAGUUUCUGAAGUUUGAUGUUCUGUUUUAUUUAAUAUGCUUUUAGUUUUCUUGGCAUUGGUUUCUGAAAUUUGAACUUCUUUAGAUGUUUUCUUUCAUUUUACUAUUUUUUUAUGAGCAAAGUUUAAAAUGUUGCUUGGGGAAUAACUUUGGCUGAAGAUCCUGGAGUGCUUUUUACUUAAGAACAUAGGAUUACACUAAUUGAUUUCAAUAUUUUGAUUUCUUUCUUAUACUUUUUUACAAUCUAGUUAGUUCUUGAAUAAUUGACAAAAUAAAAUAAAAUAAAUAAAUAAAAGAAAAAAACGAAAAAGAGGAGAGUUUGGAAUAUAGUUUUUAUUUCUUUCUAUUGAUAUUAGAUUUUAAAAUUUGGUAUCCAUUAGACAGUGUCUAAUUUGAAUUAUUUCUUUAUAAAUUGUGUUUCCAAUUUUGUUCUAGGGAAAUCAAGGUUUAUGAUUUAUAGGUUUUAGAGUUUAGAGCUUAGAGUUUAAGCCAUAAGGUUUAUAGGUUUUAGGGUUUAGAUUAUCUAUUUGUUAGAAUAUGUGUUAUUCCUUUGUAUCUUUAUGAAAAUUGAGUUGUCAUUUUGUUUUCACAAAAGUUUUGUAUAAUUGGUGCUUGUGGUUGGAUCUAAUUUGAAGUUACAAGUGUUUGUUCUUUUGAUCACAAGCACUACAAUAGUUUGUUUCUCUUUAUUUUUUUAACCUUGGUCCUUGAAUAAGGUUUUCCUUUGAAUAAGGUAUUUUGUUUACCUAUUAAAUUUUAAAAAAACAUCUUGUAAAUGAAUCUUUUUAUACCCCAUGACAUUUUAAAAUUAGUCCUAUAUAUUACAAACAUUCUUUCUCAUCUUUUUGAAUUUUAAGAAAUGGUGGUGAUUGAAAAUUUCCCUUUGUGGUGAUGGAUCUUUCCCUUGUAUGUAUAUUUGGUUUUUGUUUUUGUUUUGAUGGUUGGCUCAAGAAGAGGGUUUAUUUUAAAGGAGAAACUAUUAUCUUCAAAAUGUUAUGAUUAUAACUUCAUGUUAGGAAGAGGUAUGUAAUGCUAGUGCUAUUUAUCUUAUUGUAAAACAUUAUUAACAUGGUGUGGUCUUCUUAUGGUCAAUAAUUUCUGUUUUGAUGGUUGGGAUCAAGAAG
RNAcentral lists this long non-coding RNA (11351 nucleotides) under Vitis vinifera (wine grape). Its description in RNAcentral is "long non-coding RNA (VVIN_LNC004015)". The record is from RNAcentral. Lineage: Eukaryota; Viridiplantae; Streptophyta; Magnoliopsida; Vitales; Vitaceae.